Molecule: long non-coding RNA, 398 nt
Filed under: Malus domestica (apple)
Lineage: Eukaryota; Viridiplantae; Streptophyta; Magnoliopsida; Rosales; Rosaceae
Description: long non-coding RNA (MDOM_LNC016191)
Source: RNAcentral
CUUAGCUACACCAGUUUAUUUUGAAUAUUGUCAUGUUAUAAUUAUGAAUAAUGCAAAAGAGACUAAAUUUGUAAACAAAAUUUACAAACUAAAUGAUGCGUCACCAAUAGAAAUGAGCACGUUUAUCAAUGGUUAAGUAAUAAUUCAAUCAUCAAUUUUCAUGUCAUUUAAUUUACCAAAUUUUAUCUACAAAUUUAGUUUUCCUAACAUUGCUUUGUAAUUAUAUCUAACAACAACAACAACAAAGCCUUUUCCCACUAAGUGGGGUCGGCUAUAUGAAUCCUAGAACGUCAUUGCGCUCAUUUGUGUCAUGUCCUCCGUUAAAUCCAAGUACUCAAGUCUUUUCUUAGGGUCUCUUCCAAAGUUUUCCUAGGUCUUCCUCUACUCCUUCGGCCCCG